GGCGGUGUAGUGUAGUGGCCUAGCACGCAACCCUCUCACGGUUGAGACCCGGGUUCGAUUCCCGACUCCGCUACCA
RNAcentral lists this transfer RNA (76 nucleotides) under Bacteroidetes bacterium ADurb.Bin416. Its description in RNAcentral is "tRNA-Glu". It matches the Rfam family "tRNA". From Rfam's summary of the family: Transfer RNA (tRNA) molecules are approximately 80 nucleotides in length. Their secondary structure includes four short double-helical elements and three loops (D, anti-codon, and T loops). The record is from RNAcentral. RNAcentral also lists the same sequence under 1 other name. Lineage: Bacteria; Pseudomonadati; Bacteroidota.